RNAcentral lists this long non-coding RNA (1794 nucleotides) under Macaca fascicularis (crab-eating macaque). RNAcentral's name for it is "lncRNA (ENSMFAG00000047608.1)". Lineage: Eukaryota; Metazoa; Chordata; Mammalia; Primates; Cercopithecidae. The record is from RNAcentral.
CUCACCACGGGGCUGUGCUCCUUUGAGGCAGGACCAGCCCGACACAAAUCACAGCCUCCCCCACACCUCACACUGCCGGGCACUAAUCUAAACUCAAUGUGUGCAUAUUUUAGGGAAUAUUAGGCACUAUAUUACCCGGGGUUUAGUUGACACUUUACUCCCCUCAGUGACUGUAAAUCCACCCAUUCUAAUGGCACUGUUCUUAGCUAUUCAGGAUGAAACACCCACUCCUCUCCUGAAACCUUCCGUCCCUCAUCCUGACUCGCAGUUCACAGAGGAAAGUGCCAUACCCGAGGUCCUCUGUCAAUUACAAGGCUAAAAUGCACUAAAAGAAUCACCAAGGAUGGCAGGGCACAGUGGCUCAUGCCUGUAAUCCCAGCACUUUGGGAGGCCAAGGCGGGUGGAUCACCUGAGGUCAGGAGUCUGGCCAACAUGGUGAAACCCCGCCUAGUGACCGCCACUGCACUCCAGCCUGGUAAAAAUUAGCCGGCCAUGGUGGUGGGCGCCUGUAAUCCCAGCUACUUGGGAGGCUGAGGCAGGAGAAUCACUUGAACCCUGGGGGUGGAGGUUGCAGUGAGCCGAGAUCACACCCCUGCACUCCAGUCUGGGCGACAGAGUGAGACUCCAAUUCAACAACAACAACAAAAAACACCAAGGAGAAAUGUUCCACACAAAGGAGGAGAAAGAAUGGGAAUGCAGAAUUCCACUGGGGCUCCUCUAUCCUGUUGGGGUGCCUUAUCACGCACUGACACAGAGGGGCUGACCUCCCCUCUCCCUGCUCCCGCCGCGCGUGGGCACCUGGCCUGGGCGUGGCCUCCAGGGCCUCUCAGCUAGACUACAAAGCUGUUGAAUACAGAGAAUUAAGAGCACAGUGCUCACAGGGCAGUGCCCAGCAGUGGCCUCAGAAGCACUGACCGGCUGCUGGGCCUCCUGUUCCUGGGCUCUCCAGGCGACUUUGGGUCCUAACCAUUUUCCAAACCUAAGCCUCCCAUUUCCCGGGACUCUAUGAGCCCCUCGUAUCUUUCCAAUACGUUUCUUUUUUCUUUGUAACAGAUUCGGUUUUCAUUACUUGUCACUGAAAAGUUCCUAGCUGAUAUGAAAUUCGGUACCAGGAGUGGGUAUUGCAAAUUAUGGAGAAAAGGGGAGAUAAGGAACGUCUGCGGUUGGUUAUCUGCCUUAGAGAGGAGAGAAAAGAGCAAAUGUUCUGAUGAUAUGCAGAGACAGGGACGGAGCAGCCCAGGAAGUUCGGUAAUUAGUUCGCCAAGAGGUGCCUGGGAUGUCAUGCCCGCUGCAAGCCCGGCUCUUGGAGACUGUUGCUUCCAUCCUGAGAUCGUAUGGCUACGAGAAAUCUGAGGCCAUAGGCGGGUGACUGCUUUUAAUGGCGCUGAAAAACUUAGAGAAUUAGAAGUUCAAAUCUCUAAAGUCUGAAUUCAAGCCACAGACUGAAACCUAAAGACUUCCUAGAACAACAUGGAAUUUCAUCCCUUACAGAUGCAAGGCCAGGAUGUCUGAAAACCCGUCUUAAAAGUCUGAGCCUUUGGCUGGGUGCGGUGGUUCAUGCCUGUAAUCCCAACACUGUGGGAGGCCAAGGCAGGUGGAUCGCUUGAGUCCAGGAGUUCAAGACCAGCCCAAACGACAUGGUGGAAACCCUGUCUCUACAAAAAACACGAAAACUAUCCAGGUGUGGUGGCAUAUGCCUGUAGUCCCAGCUACUCAAGAGGCUGAGGUGGGAGAAUUGCUUGAGCCCAGGAGGUAGCAGUGAGCCGAGAUCAUGCCAUAUAGCACUCCAGCCCG